Long non-coding RNA from Sinocyclocheilus grahami, 544 nucleotides. RefSeq lists it as uncharacterized. The record is from RefSeq and is a predicted model, not a curated record. The transcript has 3 exons. NCBI's taxonomy places the organism in Eukaryota, Metazoa, Chordata, Actinopteri, Cypriniformes, Cyprinidae.
UAACCAACCAUGAGGAAGUGAUUUCUCAGACAUUGACAUCAGAGGAGAUCAAAACCAAAGUGUUAAAUUCCUCAGUAAGACCGUCCCACACCAGGAGUCUGAGGAAGCAAGACUAGAACGUCUGAAGGAGUGGAGGAGUAUAAUAGAGAAACACUGAGCAAAUGGAGCGUGAGACCAGCUCACCUGUACACACGCCACUUACUGAGGAGCCAUGUACGAAGAGGGCAAGACCGGAGAUGGAAGUAGAAGAGGAGUAUGAGCGAUGCCUCCAGACAACAGAAAGUGCCUUGAAAGCCCUGCAGGCAAUAGUGGGGCCAGACCACAACAUGUCACCGCCUCAGUGGGUCAGGACCAGACUUGAGGUCUUACAGACACUGAUAACUCAAAUCAACACCACUGCAAUAGAGCAGCCCUAAUUCAACUACAACACCUCUACCUAUGGCUGCUUUUAACAGUGCUGUCUUUGUUCCAUGUCACUACGUUUACUAAAGUCACCAAAGAUAUUUGUAUAAAAGUUGUAUUUUUUAAAGUUUAUAUGGAAAAG